AGGAUUAACGCUAGCGGUAUGCCUAAUACAUGCAAGUCGAGCGGAGGUAGCAAUACCUUAGCGGCGAACGGGUGAGUAAUACGUAUCUAAUCUGCCCUUUAGAAAGGAACAACAGAUCGAAAGAUUUGCUAAUACCUUAUAUGAUAUACAUUCGCAUGAAAGUAUAUUUAAAGUUGCGUUUGCAACGCUUUAGGAUGAGGGUGCGGUUUAUCAGAUAGUUGGUGAGGUAAUGGCUCACCAAGUCAAUGACGAAUAGCUAUGCUGAGAGGUAGAAUAGCCACAAGGGGACUGAGACACGGCCCCUACUCCUACGGGAGGCAGCAGUAGGGAAUUUUUCACAAUGGGCGAAAGCCUGAUGGAGCAAUACCGCGUGAAUGAUGAAGGUCUUCGGAUUGUAAAAUUCUUUUAUUAGGGACGAACGGCACUAAGAGGAAAUGCUUAGUGAUUGACUGUACCUAUUGAAUAAGUAACGGCAAACUAUGUGCCAGCAGCCGCGGUAAUACAUAGGUUACAAGCGUUAUCCGGAUUUACUGGGCGUAAAGCGAGCGCAGGCUGAUUAACAAGUCUAGUGUGAAAUGCAGUUGCUUAACAACUGUUUGCAUUGGAAACUGUUAGUCUGGAGUGUGAUAGGGAGUUCUGGAACUCCAUAUGGAGCGGUGGAAUGCGUAGAUAUAUGGAAGAACACCUGUGGCGAAAGCGAGAACUUAGGUCACAACUGACGCUUAGGCUCGAAAGUGUGGGGAGCAAAUAGGAUUAGAUACCCUAGUAGUCCACACCGUAAACGAUGGUUAUUAGUUGUUGGUACGAAGUACUAGUAACGAAGCUAACGCAUUAAAUAACCCGCCUGGGUAGUACAUUCGCAAGAAUGAAACUCAAACGGAAUUGACGGGGACCCGCACAAGUGGUGGAGCAUGUUGUUUAAUUCGACAGUACACGAGAACCUUACCAGGGUUUGACAUCCUCGGCAAAGCUAUAGAAAUAUAGUGGAAGUUUACCGAGAGACAGGUGGUGCAUGGGUUGUCGUCAGCUCGUGUC
This 1035-nucleotide ribosomal RNA is filed under the name uncultured bacterium. RNAcentral describes it as "bacterial SSU rRNA". It matches the Rfam family "Bacterial small subunit ribosomal RNA", at positions 26 to 1066 of the family's 1533-position model. The record is from RNAcentral.